RNAcentral lists this unclassified non-coding RNA (378 nucleotides) under plant metagenome. RNAcentral describes it as "partial contains 5.8S ribosomal RNA, internal transcribed spacer 2, and large subunit ribosomal RNA". The stretch from base 1 to 105 matches the Rfam family "5.8S ribosomal RNA", at positions 50 to 154 of the family's 154-position model. The record is from RNAcentral.
GAAAUGUGAUAAGUAAUGUGAAUUGCAGAAUUCAGUGAAUCAUCGAAUCUUUGAACGCACCUUGCGCCCCUUGGUAUUCCUUGGAGCAUGCCUGUUUGAGUAUCAUGAAAUCUUCAAAGUAAAUCUUUUGUUAACUCAAUUGGUUUCUACUUUGGUAUUGGAGGUCUUUGCAGCUUCACACCUGCUCCUCUUUGUUCAUUAGCUGGAUCUCAGUGUUAUGCUUGGUUCCACUCGGCGUGAUAAGUUAUCUAUCGCUGAGGACACUGUAAAAGGUGGCCAAGGUAAAUGCAGAUGAACCGCUUCUAAUAGUCCAUUGACUUGGACAAUACUUUUAUGAUCUGAUCUCAAAUCAGGUAGGACUACCCGCUGAACUUAAGC